UGGGGAAUUUUGGACAAUGGGCGAAAGCCUGAUCCAGCAAUGCCGCGUGUGUGAAGAAGGCCUUCGGGUUGUAAAGCACUUUUGUCCGGAAAGAAAUCCUUGGCUCUAAUACAGUCGGGGGAUGACGGUACCGGAAGAAUAAGCACCGGCUAACUACGUGCCAGCAGCCGCGGUAAUACGUAGGGUGCAAGCGUUAAUCGGAAUUACUGGGCGUAAAGCGUGCGCAGGCGGUUUGCUAAGACCGAUGUGAAAUCCCCGGGCUCAACCUGGGAACUGCAUUGGGUGACUGGCAGGCUAGAGUAUGGCAGAGGGGGGUAGAAUUCCACGUGUAGCAGUGAAAUGCGUAGAGAUGUGGAGGAAUACCGAUGGCGAAGGCAGCCCCCUGGGCCAAUACUGACGCUCAUGCACGAAAGCGUGGGGAGCAAACAGGAUUAGAUACCCUGGUAGUCCACGCCCUAAACGAUGUCAACUAGUUGUUGGGGAUUCAUUUCCUAGUAACGUAGCUAACGCGUGAAGUUGACCGCCUGGGGAGUACGGUCGCAAGAUUAAAACUCAAAUGAAUUGACGGGGUCAUAGCUG
This 579-nucleotide ribosomal RNA is filed under the name uncultured bacterium. RNAcentral's name for it is "partial 16S ribosomal RNA". It matches the Rfam family "Bacterial small subunit ribosomal RNA", at positions 355 to 932 of the family's 1533-position model. The record is from RNAcentral.